Molecule: ribosomal RNA, 126 nt
Filed under: Neobacillus thermocopriae
Lineage: Bacteria; Bacillati; Bacillota; Bacilli; Caryophanales; Bacillaceae
Description: Bacterial small subunit ribosomal RNA
Rfam family: Bacterial small subunit ribosomal RNA
Source: Rfam by way of RNAcentral
UUUUUGGAGAGUUUGAUCCUGGCUCAGGACGAACGCUGGCGGCGUGCCUAAUACAUGCAAGUCGAGCGGACCAAUAGAAGCUUGCUUCUGUUGGUUAGCGGCGGACGGGUGAGUAACACGUGGGCA